UAGCAGGCGCUUAAUAAAUGCUUAUUUCCCUUCCUUCCCUCUAAGAUUAUCAGAACAAAGGGACAUGGAGUGUGAAGCUCCAGAAGCUCUUAUCCUGUGCCUUGCACAGGAUGAUAACCUUAGGACUGGAAGGGUUCUCAAAAGUCCAACCCCAUCAUUUUAUGGAUGGGGAAACUGAGGCCAGGAAGAUUAAAAGAAUGGCCUAAGGUAAAACAUCACACGGCUAGGCACAUGCUGUUGACUGACAGCUUGACGCUGGGUGCAGCGAUCCGCAGAGGAGAGGCGCCAGGGAUACCUCCAGGGCACAGGCUGCCAUAGGGCAGAAGGCGAGGGCCCGGGCUCGGCUCCUCGGGGCCCACGAGGUGUCUGGACUGAACCAGCAGAUGUGGGGAGGGACGACGGCGUUCUAGGUCUAGAUGCAAUCAGCACAUUGUUAUCUGUAAAUAUGACAUCUGAAGGACCCAUCAUCUGUAGAGAAUCUCUCUCUUCAACAAAAAUUCUGCUGUGGAUAUCCAUGACAGUGAUGAAUACCUUUGUCACUGUACAUUCUUCUUUUGGCUCUGCUUAUUUCACUAUGAAUAAAUUGAACGUGUGAAAUAAGAUGCUACAAUUCAGAAGGGAUGAGAGAUGCCCAGGAAUGCUCAAGAGAGAUGCUGAAGACACAAAGGGAAAGAAUUCCAAUGAGGAAAAAUGGGAUUUGUAUGAAGAGAUGGAUGUGGAUACACAAGGAACUCACCAACCAACUUAGAUUUCAAAAAGAUUUGUACAGAAGAUGGAAGCAAAGCAAGCUAUAUUGUUAGAAAAAAAAGAAGGUUCAGAGGAGGACUAAAACCUUUGCAUGGAUGGAACCAUGGUCACUGAACACAGAGAGAAAGCAGAGCUGCUGAAUUCAUAUUUAGAUCCUGUUUUCUCAGCAAAAGAGGAUGAACUUUACACUGGAAAUGACAGAAUGCAAAUGACUAACAAUGGUGGUGAUACCCAAAAUAGGUAAGGAGAUAAAAGGGACUGGCUGAUUUUGAUCAAUUCUAAUCACCUGGCCCAAUGGAAUAACCUCCUAGGGUACUGAAAGAGCUGGCAGAUGGGAUGAUUGAGCCACUGUCAGAGGUAUUGGAUAUAAAUAUUUUUGUAGAUAUGGGUCCUUUUCCUCUUUUGUCUCUGUGAUAUAGAUUUAGUAGUGGUAUU
Non-coding RNA from Phascolarctos cinereus (koala), 1182 nucleotides. Lineage: Eukaryota; Metazoa; Chordata; Mammalia; Diprotodontia; Phascolarctidae. The record is from RefSeq and is a predicted model, not a curated record.